Molecule: long non-coding RNA, 340 nt
Organism: Passer domesticus (house sparrow)
Lineage: Eukaryota; Metazoa; Chordata; Aves; Passeriformes; Passeridae
Exons: 3
Source: RefSeq, a predicted model, not a curated record
CUGGAGCAUCACAAAUGCUCUGGCUACCUCUUGCCACCCCCACCUUCCUCACAAAUGCUGCUGCUCUCAAAAGCCACAGAAAGCUACUAAGCCCCAGGAAUCAACACACCAUAAAAAUUAGGAUUUUGUCUGCAGUGCCGUGUAUGUGACUAAGACGUGGCUUUUGAAGCACCUUCAUCUUCUUUCCCUAGAGAUUACUUCACAUUUGGAACAGUCCUGCUACAGAAAAUGAAGGCAAGUGGAUUGCAUCUGCUAGGUCAAGCUUCCCAUCCCCCAUCCCUGAAAAUCAGCAACCCAAAUGUCACUUGUCUGUGUUGGUUCUCACAGAAGGCAAACCGUA